UACGGAGGGAGCUAGCGUUGUUCGGAAUUACUGGGCGUAAAGCGCACGUAGGCGGCUUUUGUAAGUUAGAGGUGAAAGCCCGGAGCUCAACUCCGGAAUUGCCUUUAAGACUGCAUCGCUUGAAUCCGGGAGAGGUGAGUGGAAUUCCGAGUGUAGAGGUGAAAUUCGUAGAUAUUCGGAAGAACACCAGUGGCGAAGGCGGCUCACUGGACCGUAUUGACGCUGAGGUGCGAAAGCGUGGGGAGCAAACAG
Molecule: ribosomal RNA, 252 nt
Filed under: uncultured bacterium
Lineage: Bacteria
Description: partial 16S ribosomal RNA
Rfam family: Bacterial small subunit ribosomal RNA
Source: RNAcentral